This 253-nucleotide ribosomal RNA is filed under the name uncultured bacterium. RNAcentral's name for it is "partial 16S ribosomal RNA". It matches the Rfam family "Bacterial small subunit ribosomal RNA", at positions 524 to 776 of the family's 1533-position model. The record is from RNAcentral.
UACAGAGGUCUCAAGCGUUGUUCGGAUUCAUUGGGCGUAAAGGGUGCGUAGGUGGCGUGGCAAGUCUGAUGUGAAAUCCCGGGGCUCAACCUCGGAACUGCAUUGGAUACUGCCAUGCUUGAGCACUGGAGAGGAGACUGGAAUUUACGGUGUAGCAGUGAAAUGCGUAGAUAUCGUAAGGAAGACCAGUGGCGAAGGCGAGUCUCUGGACAGUUGCUGACACUGAGGCACGAAGGCCAGGGGAGCAAACGGG